Molecule: ribosomal RNA, 254 nt
Filed under: uncultured bacterium
Lineage: Bacteria
Description: partial 16S ribosomal RNA
Rfam family: Bacterial small subunit ribosomal RNA
Source: RNAcentral
UACGAAGGGGGGCUAGCGUUGCUCGGAAUCACUGGGCGUAAAGGGUGCGUAGGCGGGUCUUUAAGUCAGGGGUGAAAUCCUGGAGCUCAACUCCAGAACUGCCUUUGAUACUGAGGAUCUUGAGUCCGGAAGAGGUGAGUGGAACUGCGAGUGUAGAGGUGAAAUUCGUAGAUAUUCGCAAGAACACCAGUGGCGAAGGCGGCUCACUGGUCCGGUACUGACGCUGAGGUGCGAAAGCGUGGGGAGCAAACAGG